Molecule: long non-coding RNA, 213 nt
Organism: Hibiscus syriacus
Lineage: Eukaryota; Viridiplantae; Streptophyta; Magnoliopsida; Malvales; Malvaceae
Exons: 2
Source: RefSeq, a predicted model, not a curated record
UAAACCCGAAAUUCUAACUUGCACUGUGAGUCAUUGAAAUCGAUGUAUCGCAUUUCUGUUUGCUAGGUGUUAUGCUCGGCUGCAUCCUAGAGCUGUGAACUGUCGCAAGAAGAAAUGUGGUCAUAGCAACCAGUUGAGGCCAAAGAAGAAGAUCAAGUAAACUACGAGUAUGGUGGUUAUUUCAUCUGCUUCAAAGAACAUGAACACAGAACU